GUCCUUUUGUGGUUCACAAGCAUGACUGUGUCCUCAUGUCACUGUGUGGAAUUGCCUCCCUCAAACUUUAUGACAUUGGCAAAUUAUUUGUAUUAAA
Small nucleolar RNA from Cavia porcellus (domestic guinea pig), 97 nucleotides. It matches the Rfam family "Small nucleolar RNA U13". NCBI's taxonomy places the organism in Eukaryota, Metazoa, Chordata, Mammalia, Rodentia, Caviidae. The record is from Rfam.